UACACAGGUUUAAGGCAUUGCCCACAAC
RNAcentral lists this non-coding RNA (28 nucleotides) under Rattus norvegicus (Norway rat). The record is from RNAcentral. Lineage: Eukaryota; Metazoa; Chordata; Mammalia; Rodentia; Muridae.